Molecule: long non-coding RNA, 168 nt
Organism: Pollicipes pollicipes
Lineage: Eukaryota; Metazoa; Arthropoda; Thecostraca; Pollicipedomorpha; Pollicipedidae
Exons: 3
Source: RefSeq, a predicted model, not a curated record
CCGGGCACGGCGACCACCGCAACGACUACGUCAUCAACGAGGCCGUGUUCGUGAUGGAUGCCCCGGCGGAAGAGGCCACCGGCUCAGUUCGCCUCAUCGCCGCCGGUCAGCAGCAGUUGUUCUCUGUAUUGGACUCGUCCGGAGGGGGUCAGUUGGACGGCGCCAGUG